UCUAAGAUUAAGCCAUGCAUGUUUCCGCAAUCAGGGACGAAUAGCUCAGUAAAACUGCGAUGAUUUAGUCUGGCUGUGUAGAUAACUACGUGAAAAUGUAGCUAAGGGAAGGCAGAAUAAGACGCAGGACUAUCAGUUAGUUGGUAGUGUAAUGGACUACCAAGACAGUGACGGUUGACGGGAAAUUAGGGUUUUGUACCGGAGAGGGAGCCUGAGAGAUUGCUCCCACGUCCAAGGACGGCAGCAGGCGCGAAAAUUGCCCACUCUUUGCAGGAGGCAGUUAUGAGACGUGAAGAUGAGUAUCUUGUAAAGAGGGAUAGGAGAAUUGGAGGGCAAGUUUGGUGCCAGCAGCCGCGGUAAUACCGACUCCAAGAGUGUGUAUGAGAGAUGCUGCAGUUAAAAAGUCCGUAGUCAUAGAAGGGCAAAGAGAGAUGCGAGGUCUCACAGUGCGAUGAUGGAGGAGCCGAUGGGGAACAUAGUAUACCAGGGCGAGAGAUGAAAUGCCAAGACCCCUGGUGGACUGAGCGAGGCGAAGGCGAUGUUCUUGUAGGCAUUCGGUGAUCAAGGACGAAGGCUGGAGUAUCGAAAGUGAUUAGAUACCGCAGUAGUUCCAGCA
Molecule: ribosomal RNA, 616 nt
Filed under: Vittaforma corneae
Lineage: Eukaryota; Fungi; Microsporidia; Nosematidae
Description: SSU rRNA
Rfam family: Microsporidia small subunit ribosomal RNA
Source: RNAcentral